RNAcentral lists this transfer RNA (76 nucleotides) under Anaerolineales bacterium. RNAcentral describes it as "tRNA-Arg". It matches the Rfam family "tRNA". From Rfam's summary of the family: Transfer RNA (tRNA) molecules are approximately 80 nucleotides in length. Their secondary structure includes four short double-helical elements and three loops (D, anti-codon, and T loops). Lineage: Bacteria; Bacillati; Chloroflexota; Anaerolineae; Anaerolineales. The record is from RNAcentral.
GCCCCCGUAGCUCAAUGGACAGAGCACCGGACUUCUAAUCCGUAGGCUGUGCGUUCGAAUCGCACCGGGGGCGCCU